AGGAGGAACAGCCCCAGUGGCGGGGCAGCUCUGGAAACCUGGAUUCAGCUCCGGCAGGAACUCCGUCUGCAGGGCCUGGAGGCUCCCGGGCGGG
Non-coding RNA from Canis lupus familiaris (dog), 94 nucleotides. Lineage: Eukaryota; Metazoa; Chordata; Mammalia; Carnivora; Canidae. The record is from Rfam.